GGAGUCUGGGCCGUAUCUCAGUCCCAAUGUGGCCGAUCACCCUCUCAGUCCGGCUACUGAUCGUCGCCAUGGUGAGCCGUUACCUCACCAUCUAGCUAAUCAGACGCGAGCCCAUCUUUGAGUGAUAAAUCUUUGGUAGUCCUAUCAUGCGGUAAAACUACGUUAUGAGGUAUUACCAUCCGUUUCCAGAAGCUAUCCCUCUCUCAAAGGUAGGUUGCUCACGUGUUACUCACCCGUCCGCCACUAAGAUAAUCUAAGUAAACUCAAAUUAUCUCCGUUCGACUUGCAUGUGUUAAGCGUGCCGCCAGCGUUCGUCCUCGAGCCAGGAUCAAACUCU
This 337-nucleotide ribosomal RNA is filed under the name Ruminococcus flavefaciens. RNAcentral describes it as "partial 16S ribosomal RNA". The record is from RNAcentral. Lineage: Bacteria; Bacillati; Bacillota; Clostridia; Eubacteriales; Oscillospiraceae.